RNAcentral lists this non-coding RNA (197 nucleotides) under Haloquadratum walsbyi. RNAcentral's name for it is "Sense overlapping transcript RNA 2652 (sot)". It matches the Rfam family "Sense overlapping transcript RNA 2652 (sot)". From Rfam's summary of the family: It is associated with IS1341-type transposase (tnpB) genes, at the 3'-end in H. salinarum NRC-1. The tetraloop structural motif may be functional. Lineage: Archaea; Methanobacteriati; Methanobacteriota; Halobacteria; Halobacteriales; Haloferacaceae. The record is from Rfam by way of RNAcentral.
AUUACCGGACUCGCAAAACCCAACCGUUUGUUCGGAAGGUGAGCCUGUCUGGGUCGGGGGGUUCUAUAAACCGCCCAGCCUCAUCCCGUGAAAUCGCUUCGCGUGGAGUGCUUACGACGUAGGCUGAGGGACUUAGAAAAGCCAGGGGUCACCCGACCCGUGGUCGUUUAUGCUGAUACUCUGAGAGAUGUGAUCCG